AACGAACGCUGGCGGCAUGCCUAACACAUGCAAGUCGAACGAGACCUUCGGGUCUGGUGGCGCACGGGUGCGUCACGCGUGGGAACCUGCCCUUAGGUUUGGAAUAACACUCUGUAAGGGGUGCUAAUAUCGGAUAAUGUACUCGAAUCAAAGAUUGAUCGUACUUGGGUGGGCAGGGGUUCGUUUAACCAGUUGGUAGGGUAAAAGCCUAUCAAGGCUACGAUCCAUAGCUGGUCUGAGAGGAUGAGCAGCCACUCUGGGAGUGGGACACGGCGCGGACUACUGCAGGAGGCAGCAAUGGGGAAUAUUGCACAAUGGGCGAAGGCCUGAUCCAGCAAGGCCUCGUGAGUGAUUAAGUCCUGAGGGUAGUACAGCUCUUUUACCCGGGAUGAUAAUGACGGUACCGGGAGAAUAAGCACCGGCUAACUCCGUG
This 433-nucleotide ribosomal RNA is filed under the name uncultured bacterium. Its description in RNAcentral is "partial 16S ribosomal RNA". It matches the Rfam family "Bacterial small subunit ribosomal RNA", at positions 29 to 507 of the family's 1533-position model. The record is from RNAcentral.